UACGUAGGGGGCGAGCGUUGUCCGGAUUUAUUGGGCGUAAAGAGCUCGUAGGCGGUUUGGUAAGUCGGGUGUGAAAUCUCCACGCUCAACGUGGAGGGGCCACUCGAUACUGCCAUGACUCGAGUCCGGUAGAGGAGUGUGGAAUUCCCGGUGUAGCGGUGAAAUGCGCAGAUAUCGGGAGGAACACCGAUGGCGAAGGCAGCUCGCUGGGACGGUACUGACGCUGAGGCGCGAAAGCGUGGGGAGCAAACAGG
RNAcentral lists this ribosomal RNA (254 nucleotides) under uncultured bacterium. RNAcentral's name for it is "partial 16S ribosomal RNA". It matches the Rfam family "Bacterial small subunit ribosomal RNA", at positions 524 to 776 of the family's 1533-position model. The record is from RNAcentral.